CGGAGUUCUGAUGGGAUCCGGUGCUUUAGUGCUGGUAUGAUCGCAUCCGACAUACCGUGCGUUCUCCUCCCCUUUAUGCCCGCGCCUCCGUGUACGGCCCGCCCAUAGCUCCUUCGACGGCAGCCGCCUAGGAACGCGGAGAAUAUAUGACAAAGGAACGGCCAAAAAUAAAAAGAAAGACCUUUCUUAUGAAAAAACAGACAUACCCAAGGAAUGCAACACGAGGACUUCCCAGGUGCCCAAGCACGCUUAACUUCGGAGUUCUGAUGGGAUCCGGUGCUUUAGUGCUGGUAUGAUCGCAUCCGACAUACCGUGCGUUCUCCUCCCCUUUAUGCCCGCGCCUCCGUGUACGGCCCGCCCAUAGCUCCUUCGACGGCGCCGCCUAGGAACGCGGAGAAAAUAUGACAAAGGAACGGCCAAAAAUAAAAAGAAAGACACUUUCUUUUGAAAAAACAAACAAAAAAAAGGAAUGCAACACGAGGACUUCCCAGGAGGUCACCCAUCCUAGUACUACUCUCGCCCAAGCACGCUUAACUUCGGAGUUCUGAUGGGAUCCGGUGCUUUAGUGCUGGUAUGAUCGCAUCCGACAUACCGUGCGUUCUCCUCCCCUUUAUGCCCGCGCCUCCGUGUACGGCCCGCCCAUAGCUCCUUCGACGGCGCCGCCUAGGAACGCGGAGAAAAUAUGACAAAGGAACGGCCAAAAACAAAAAGAAAGACCUUUCUUUUGAAAAAACAAACGCCUCCGUGUACGGCCCGCCCAUAGCUCCUUCGACGGCGCCGCCUAGGAACGCGGAGAAAAUAUGACAAAGGAACGGCCAAAAAUAAAAAGAAAGACCUUUCUUUUGAAAAAACAAACAAAAAAAAGGAAUGCAACACGAGGACUUCCCAGGAGGUCACCCAUCCUAGUACUACUCUCGCCCAAGCACGCUUAACUUCGGAGUUCUGAUGGGAUCCGGUGCUUUAGUGCUGGUAUGAUCGCAUCCGACAUACCGUGCGUUCUCCUCCCCUUUAUGCCCGCGCCUCCGUGUACGGCCCGCCCAUAGCUCCUUCGACGGCGCCGCCUAGGAACGCGGAGAAAAUAUGACAAAGGAACGGCCAAAAAUAAAAAGAAAGACCUUUCUUUUGAAAAAACAAACGCCUCCGUGUACGGCCCGCCCAUAGCUCCUUCGACGGCGCCGCCUAGGAACGCGGAGAAAAUAUGACAAAGGAACGGCCAAAAAUAAAAAGAAAGACCUUUCUUUUGAAAAAACAAACAAAAAAAAGGAAUGCAACACGAGGACUUCCCAGGAGGUCACCCAUCCUAGUACUACUCUCGCCCAAGCACGCUUAACUUCGGAGUUCUGAUGGGAUCCGGUGCUUUAGUGCUGGUAUGAUCGCAUCCGACAUACCGUGCGUUCUCCUCCCCUUUAUGCCCGCGCCUCCGUGUACGGCCCGCCCAUAGCUCCUUCGACGGCGCCGCCUAGGAACGCGGAGAAAAUAUGACAAAGGAACGGCCAAAAAUAAAAAGAAAGACCUUUCUUUUGAAAAAACAAACGCCUCCGUGUACGGCCCGCCCAUAGCUCCUUCGACGGCGCCGCCUAGGAACGCGGAGAAAAUAUGACAAAGGAACGGCCAAAAAUAAAAAGAAAGACCUUUCUUUUGAAAAAACAAACAAAAAAAAGGAAUGCAACACGAGGACUUCCCAGGAGGUCACCCAUCCUAGUACUACUCUCGCCCAAGCACGCUUAACUUCGGAGUUCUGAUGGGAUCCGGUGCUUUAGUGCUGGUAUGAUCGCAUCCGACAUACCGUGCGUUCUCCUCCCCUUUAUGCCCGCGCCUCCGUGUACGGCCCGCCCAUAGCUCCUUCGACGGCGCCGCCUAGGAACGCGGAGAAAAUAUGACAAAGGAACGGCCAAAAAUAAAAAGAAAGACCUUUCUUUUGAAAAAACAAACAAAUAAAAGGAAUGCAACACGAGGAGUUCCCAGGAGGUCACCCAUCCUAGUACUACUCUCGCCCAAGCACGCUUAACUUCGGAGUUCUGAUGGGAUCCGGUGCUUUAGUGCUGGUAUGAUCGCAUCCGACAUACCGUGCGUUCUCCUCCCCUUUAUGCCCGCGCCUCCGUGUACGGCCCGCCCAUAGCUCCUUCGACGGCGCCGCCUAGGAACGCGGAGAAAAUAUGACAAAGGAACGGCCAAAAAUAAAAAGAAAGACCUUUCUUUUGAAAAAACAAACAAAAAAAAGAAAUGCAACACGAGGACUUCCCAGGAGGUCACCCAUCCUAGUACUACUCUCGCCCAAGCACGCUUAACUUCGGAGUUCUGAUGGGAUCCGGUGCUUUAGUGCUGGUAUGAUCGCAUCCGACAUACCGUGCGUUCUCCUCCCCUUUAUGCCCGCGCCUCCGUGUACGGCCCGCCCAUAGCUCCUUCGACGGCGCCGCCUAGGAACGCGGAGAAAAUAUGACAAAGGAACGGCCAAAAAUAAAAAGAAAGACCUUUCUUUGAAAAAACAAACAAUUCACAGGAAUGCAACACGAGGACUUCCCACGAGGUCACCCAUCCUAGUACUACUCUCGCCCAAGCACGCUUAACUUCGGAGUUCUGAUGGGAUCCGGUGCUUUAGUGCUGGUAUGAUCGCAUCCGACAUACCGUGCGUUCUCCUCCCCUUUAUGCCCGCGCCUCCGUGUACGGCCCGCCCAUAGCUCCUUCGACGGCGCCGCCUAGGAACGCGGAGAAAAUAUGACAAAGGAACGGCCAAAAAUAAAAAGAAAGACCUUUCUUUUGAAAAAACAAACCAAAAAAAAGGAAUGCAACACGAGGACUUCCCAAGAGGUCACCCAUCCUAGUACUACUCUCGCCCAAGCACGCUUAACUUCGGAGUUCUGAUGGGAUCCGGUGCUUUAGUGCUGGUAUGAUCGCAUCCGACAUACCGUGCGUUCUCCUCCCCAUUAUGCCCGCGCCUCCGUGUACGGCCCGCCCAUAGCUCCUUUGACGGCGCCGCUUAGGAACGCGGAGAAAAUAUGACAAAGGAACGGCCAAAAAUAAAAAGAAAGACCUUUCUUUUGAAAAAACAAACAAAUAAAAGGAAUGCAACACGAGGACUUCCCAGGAGGUCACCCAUCCUAGUACUACUCUCGCCCAAGCACGCUUAACUUCGGAGUUCUGAUGGGAUCCGGUGCUUUAGUGCUGGUAUGAUCGCAUCCGACAUACCGUGCGUUCUCCUCCCCUUUAUGCCCGCGCCUCCGUGUACGGCCCGCCCAUAGCUCCUUCGACGGCGCCGCCUAGGAACGCGGAGAAAAUAUGACAAAGGAACGGCCAAAAACAAAAAGAAAGACCUUUCUUUUGAAAAAACAAACAAAAAAAAGGAAUGCAACACGAGGACUUCCCAGGAGGUCACCCAUCCUAGUACUACUCUCGCCCAAGCACGCUUAACUUCGGAGUUCUGAUGGGAUCCGGUGCUUUAGUGCUGGUAUGAUCGCAUCCGACAUACCGUGCGUUCUCCUCCCCUUUAUGCCCGCGCCUCCGUGUACGGCCCGCCCAUAGCUCCUUCGACGGCGCCGCCUAGGAACGCGGAGAAAAUAUGACAAAGGAACGGCCAAAAAUAAAAAGAAAGACCUUUCUUUUGAAAAAACAAACAAAUAAAAGGAAUGCAACACGAGGACUUCCCAGGAGGUCACCCAUCCUAGUACUACUCUCGCCCAAGCACGCUUAACUUCGGAGUUCUGAUGGGAUCCGGUGCUUUAGUGCUGGUAUGAUCGCAUCCGACAUACCGUGCGUUCUCCUCCCCUUUAUGCCCGCGCCUCCGUGUACGGCCCGCCCAUAGCUCCUUCGACGGCGCCGCCUAGGAACGCGGAGAAAAUAUGACAAAGGAACGGCCAAAAAUAAAAAGAAAGACCUUUCUUUUGAAAAAACAAACAAAUAAAAGGAAUGCAACACGAGGACUUCCCAGGAGAUCACCCAUCCUAGUACUACUCUCGCCCAAGCACGCUUAACUUCGGAGUUCUGAUGGGAUCCGGUGCUUUAGUGCUGGUAUGAUCGCAUCCGACAUACCGUGCGUUCUCCUCCCCUUUAUGCCCGCGCCUCCGUGUACGGCCCGCCCAUAGCUCCUUCGACGGCGCCGCCUAGGAACGCGGAGAAAAUAUGACAAAGGAACGGCCAAAAAUAAAAAGAAAGACCUUUCUUUUGAAAAAACAAACAAAAAAAAGGAAUGCAACACGAGGACUUCCCACGAGGUCACCCAUCCUAGUACUACUCUAGUACCAAGCACGCUUAACUUCGGAGUUCUGAUGGGAUCCGGUGCUUUAGUGCUGGUAUGAUCGCAUCCGACAUACCGUGCGUUCUCCUCCCCUUUAUGCCCGCGCCUCCGUGUACGGCCCGCCCAU
This 4358-nucleotide long non-coding RNA is filed under the name Sorghum bicolor (sorghum). RNAcentral describes it as "long non-coding RNA (SBIC_LNC015499)". Lineage: Eukaryota; Viridiplantae; Streptophyta; Magnoliopsida; Poales; Poaceae. The record is from RNAcentral.